This is a long non-coding RNA of Myxocyprinus asiaticus (Chinese sucker), 1051 nucleotides long. RefSeq lists it as uncharacterized. The record is from RefSeq and is a predicted model, not a curated record. The transcript has 3 exons. Lineage: Eukaryota; Metazoa; Chordata; Actinopteri; Cypriniformes; Catostomidae.
AUUAAAUCUACACUGCCCAGAGAUUAUAUGCGUCAUUCGCGCUUUUCAUCAUCGGGACAGUGGCUCAAAAUUGAAGGCUCGGAGCCACAACGAGUCACAAUGUAUGGUGACUGAGGCUGUCAUUCUGCCUGACAUCUCCUUUUGUGCUCCACGGAAACAGAAAAUGUCAUACAGGCUAGGAACACUAUGAGGCUGUGUUUAUUCCCUGCCCACACUUGACUGAUCUUGCAACUUCUCUCGCUGCAAGAGCACACUGCAAGCUUGCUUUCCCAGUUACAUCACAUCAAUACUCUAAGUUUGCAUUAGAAGGACUAUUGUAUAAGUAGCAUUUCUAGUGUUGCUCAGAAAAGGAUCACGACACAGAACACGGAAGUCAUCAGAAUUAGUAUGGAUAUCCACACAUGCUUUUUGACAAGAAUGUCAAGGUUGAAGGCAACUGGGAGAAUAUGAAGCAAAACGGCGUCUCGAGAGAAAUCUCGCUGCUGUCAUGUGCACCUCGCAAAGCUUCUGCGCGUGGAGGUCAGCAGCUCUAGCCCAGACUCCCUCCGCAUACUGAAAGAUCCAACAGCCUACUGUUAGCGUCCCUGUGGGCCACCUUUCACUGUCUCUGCCAGUAAUUCAGACACCUGAUGCACUCCAUCGUUGGUUUAAUGGGACCAAUUAAAUCACUCUCUCCAGAUCUAAAGACAUGGAACAUUUUAAGGCACGGCCAUAUCCAAACUGUCUGCCAGUGGGUGGGGAGUCGAAUGGAAUUGAUCCUGAGAUAACAGACCAAUUCAAGUUUAAAUGGACUGCGGUCAGAUCUGACAGUUGCAGGAAAUUAUCUAAAUGUGUGGUUCUCAACUGGUUUUGCUCUAAGAUCCCGAUCUUACAAUGGACAUUGAGUCCCAACAAAGAACCAAAAUGGUUACACAUACAAAAGUAAAUAAAAAUGUCUUUAAAAUCAAAAUUUGUCCAUUUUAACAUGAACCACACUGGCCAAACAAUUUGCAAAAUUAGUAACAUGACAUGAAAACUUAAAAGGCAUAAACAAGAGCAGAAGUAUGAUUUA